GCAAGUCGAGGGGUAACGAUAAAGUAGCUUGCUAUUUUAGGCGACGACCGGCGCACGGGUGAGUAACGCGUAUGCAACCUACCUUUAACUGGGGAAUAGCCCGGAGAAAUUCGGAUUAAUGCCCCAUAAUAUUUUUUCUACACCUGUAGAAAUCAUUAAAGCUCCGGCGGUUAAAGAUGGGCAUGCGUGACAUUAGAUAGUUGGUAAGGUAACGGCUUACCAAGUCUACGAUGUCUAGGGGGCCUGAGAGGGUAGUC
This 257-nucleotide ribosomal RNA is filed under the name uncultured bacterium. RNAcentral describes it as "partial 16S ribosomal RNA". It matches the Rfam family "Bacterial small subunit ribosomal RNA", at positions 57 to 305 of the family's 1533-position model. The record is from RNAcentral.